AGCAGCCGCGGUAAUUCCAGCUCCAAUAGCGUAUAUUAAAGUUGUUGCAGUUAAAAAGCUCGUAGUUGAAUUUCGGGAUCAGUACGCUGGUCGUGCCUUUGGUAUGUACUGGUGUCACUGAUUCCUCCCUUCUGAAGAACCGUUAUGCCAUUUAUUUGGUGUGGCGGGGAAUCAGGACUGUUACUUUGAAAAAAUUAGAGUGUUUAAAGCAGGCUCGCGCUUGAAUACGUUAGCAUGGAAUAAUGAAAUAGGACGUUUGGUCUUAUUUUGUUGGUUUCUAGGAUCGACGUAAUGAUUAAUAGGGAUAGUUGGGGGCAUUAGUAUUCAAUUGUCAGAGGUGAAAUUCUUGGAUUUAUUGAAGACUAACUACUGCGAAAGCAUUUGCCAAGGAUGUUUUCAUUAAUCAAGAACGAAAGUUAGGGGAUCGAAGACGAUCAGAUACCGUCGUAGUCUUAACCAUAAACUAUGCCGACUAGGGAUCGGAUGAUGUUAUUUUUAAUGACUCAUUCGGCGCCUUAAC
RNAcentral lists this ribosomal RNA (520 nucleotides) under uncultured Glomus. Its description in RNAcentral is "SSU rRNA". It matches the Rfam family "Eukaryotic small subunit ribosomal RNA", at positions 569 to 1092 of the family's 1831-position model. Lineage: Eukaryota; Fungi; Glomeromycota; Glomeromycetes; Glomerales; Glomeraceae. The record is from RNAcentral.